CUAGUAACGGCGAGUGAAGCGGCAACAGCUCAAAUUUGAAAUCUGGCUCUUUCAGAGUCCGAGUUGUAAUUUGCAGAGGGCGCUUUGGCUUUGGCAGCGGUCCAAGUUCCUUGGAACAGGACGUCACAGAGGGUGAGAAUCCCGUACGUGGUCGCUAGCUAUUGCCGUGUAAAGCCCCUUCGACGAGUCGAGUUGUUUGGGAAUGCAGCUCUAAAUGGGAGGUAAAUUUCUUCUAAAGCUAAAUAUUGGCCAGAGACCGAUAGCGCACAAGUAGAGUGAUCGAAAGAUGAAAAGCACUUUGGAAAGAGAGUCAAACAGCACGUGAAAUUGUUGAAAGGGAAGCGCUUGCAGCCAGACUUGCUUGCAGUUGCUCAUCCGGGCUUUUGCCCGGUGCACUCUUCUGCAGGCAGGCCAGCAUCAGUUUGGGCGGUGGGAUAAAGGUCUCUGACACGUUCCUUCCUUCGGGUUGGCCAUAUAGGGGAGACGUCAUACCACCAGCCUGGACUGAGGUCCGCGCAUCUGCUAGGAUGCUGGCGUAAUGGCUGUAAGCGGCCCGUCUUGAAACACGGACCAAGGAGUCUAACAUCUAUGCGAGUGUUUGGGUGUCAAGCCCGAGCGCGUAAUGAAAGUGAACGGAGGUGGGAACCCGCAAGGGUGCACCAUCGACCGAUCCUGAAGUUUACGGAAGGAUUUGAGUAAGAGCAUGGCUGUUGGGACCCGAAAGAUGGUGAACUAUGCUUGAAUAGGGUGAAGCCAGAGGAAACUCUGGUGGAGGCUCGCAGCGGUUCUGACGUGCAAAUCGAUCGUCAAAUUUGGGCAUAGGGGCGAAAGACUAAUCGAACUAUCUAGUAGCUGGUUCCUGCCGAAGUUUCCCUCAGGAUAGCAGUAACGUAUUCAGUUUUAUGAGGUAAAGCGAAUGAUUAGAGGCAUGGGGGGUUGAAACAACCUUCACCUAUUCUCAAACUUUAAAUAUGUAAGAAGCCCUUUGUUACUUAAUUGAACGCGGGCAUUUGAAUGAAACGUUAUUAGUGGGCCAUUUUUGGUAAGCAGAACUGGCGAUGCGGGAUGAACCGAACGAGGGGUUACGGUGCCGGAGUACACGCUCAUCAGACACCACAAAAGGUGUUGGUUCAUCUAGACAGCAGGACGGUGGCCAUGGAAGUCGGAAUCCGCUAAGGAGUGUGUAACAACUCACCUGCCGAAUGAACUAGCCCUGAAAAUGGAUGGCGCUCAAGCGUGUCACCUAUACCCCUCCGCCGGGGCAAAAUUUACGCCCCGGCGAGUAGGCAGGCGUGGAGGCUCGUGACGAAG
RNAcentral lists this ribosomal RNA (1311 nucleotides) under Curvularia verruculosa. Its description in RNAcentral is "eukaryotic LSU rRNA". It matches the Rfam family "Eukaryotic large subunit ribosomal RNA", at positions 80 to 1408 of the family's 3401-position model. The record is from RNAcentral. Lineage: Eukaryota; Fungi; Ascomycota; Dothideomycetes; Pleosporales; Pleosporaceae.